This 475-nucleotide ribosomal RNA is filed under the name uncultured Dermatophilus sp. RNAcentral's name for it is "bacterial SSU rRNA". It matches the Rfam family "Bacterial small subunit ribosomal RNA", at positions 53 to 541 of the family's 1533-position model. The record is from RNAcentral. Lineage: Bacteria; Bacillati; Actinomycetota; Actinomycetes; Micrococcales; Dermatophilaceae.
ACAUGCAAGUCGAACGAUGAAGCCCAGCUUGCUGGGUGGAUUAGUGGCGAACGGGUGAGUAACACGUGAGUAACCUAGCCCUCACUUUGGGAUAAGCCCCGGAAACGGGGUCUAAUACUGGAUACGACCUUUCCUCGCAUGAGGUUUGGUGGAAAGUUUUUUCGGUGGGGGAUGUGCUCGCGGCCUAUCAGCUUGUUGGUGAGGUAACGGCUCACCAAGGCGACGACGGGUAGCCGGCCUGAGAGGGCGACCGGCCACACUGGGACUGAGACACGGCCCAGACUCCUACGGGAGGCAGCAGUGGGGAAUAUUGCACAAUGGGCGAAAGCCUGAUGCAGCGACGCCGCGUGAGGGAUGAAGGCCUUCGGGUUGUAAACCUCUUUCAGCAGGGGAGAAGCGAAAGUGACGGUACCUGCAGAAGAAGCACCGGCUAACUACGUGCCAGCAGCCGCGGUAAUACGUAGGGUGCGAGCGU